Molecule: ribosomal RNA, 366 nt
Filed under: uncultured Brevundimonas sp.
Lineage: Bacteria; Pseudomonadati; Pseudomonadota; Alphaproteobacteria; Caulobacterales; Caulobacteraceae
Description: bacterial SSU rRNA
Rfam family: Bacterial small subunit ribosomal RNA
Source: RNAcentral
CACCUUUUGACAUGCCUGGACCGCCACGGAGACGUGGCUUUCCCUUCGGGGACUAGGACACAGGUGCUGCAUGGCUGUCGUCAGCUCGUGUCGUGAGAUGUUGGGUUAAGUCCCGCAACGAGCGCAACCCUCGCCAUUAGUUGCCAUCAUUUAGUUGGGAACUCUAAUGGGACUGCCGGUGCUAAGCCGGAGGAAGGUGGGGAUGACGUCAAGUCCUCAUGGCCCUUACAGGGUGGGCUACACANGUGCUACAGUGGCAAGUACAGAGGGUUAAUCCUUAANAGUUGUCUCAGUUCGGAUUGUCCUCUGCANNUCGAGGGCAUGAAGUUGGANUCGCUAGUANUCGCGGAUCAGCAUGCCGCGGUG